CCAACCGGGCAAAGUGGCAAGGUGAAGACUGCAGAGAGCACGAGAAGAAAGAAAGACGGACGGCCGACCAAUUGAAUUGCAGAAUUGCCAGCGCUUUCUUGGCCAAAAGUUUUUGGGUAGAAGAGAGCAGCCCGAGUUUUUGAUUCAUUGGGUGUUAAGUGCGAUAAAAUGUGCGCUCUCUGAUAAAUUAUAGUUUCCAUAAAUAAAGUCGCAUUUAAUCGAAUUAAGUUAUUUCGCAGUUUAAAAAGGAAUUGUAAAAUAUAUGCGGAGCUUUAUAGUGGAAUAAUAAUUCAAAAAAAGGAAGACAGUUCCGUGGAGAACUGGAACCGCACCUUAAUCUUGCCCUCCUCCGAUUUCUCGCCCCUGCAGGAAGUCAUUAAGCUGCCUGAGGCUGGAAUAAAUAAAGUUUUCCUCCCACUUCGGCAGACGCUAAAGCUAUGAGGUGCCACCCCACGGCAGAUGCAACUUUAUUAAAGUCGACAAAAACAAAAUAAAUUUACGUGUAAAAACAGUCCAAAUGGCAGAACAACGAAAUUGUCGCCGCACCACCAAACAUCACCAAACGAUCCCAACAGAUGCACAAAGUUUCGGAUGCAACGAUCUGUAGAUGCAGCUACAGCUUCCCAAGAAGGGAGCGCAAGUUGGCGGCAUGCGGCAGCUAAUGUAUCUAAUAGAUACACGACAGCACGUCAAGCGCUUCCAUUGGAGCGAGAUUCCUCUGCUCUGCCUUCAAAUGGAGUCAUCCAAGUUGGGUACUCCAAUGCCUAAUAGGGGGAUAUAUCAGCCAUGGAAUGAAGACGCCGAUCUCUUGCACACGAGGCAAAUGACAUUUCAUUUAUCUUGCAGCUCGUGCAGCAAUUUCAAGCGGGUUUUCCUGGAGUUUCCCCAACGGAUGAGGGAGUGGGGGAGUGGGGGGUGGAGCAGUUGCGUUGGCGACCAGCAUUCGAUGUCAGCGAUGAGUUAUUGACACUCGAAGCUGCGUCCCAUAAAGCUCUCAGUUCCGGUGAUCUCUGGCUGAGUUAUCAAUGUGAAAAAUAGAAACAUGAUUAUGAAAUUAUCAAAAGAAAUGCGUGUACGUGAAAAAUGUAGGGGGAGGCAAGACAUCGAGCAGCAGAAGGUGUGAGUGAGACGGGGAUCGAGAGCCAUCUUCGGAUGGGUGGCGCUUUCGUUUUGCUUGAGUUUACCCCACAGCCUUAGAUUGGAUGGAAUUUGUAGAGCCAACGGCAGCAUAAUUAAAGUCAUCAACUUAAACUAGCACUGUAUUAUGGUUUCGGUUUGGUAAACACCCUGUAAAACAAACAUAUGCUAUAAGUAUUUGUAUUUAUUGAGCUAAAAGAACGCUUUUUGAAAGAAAACCUUCAAGAUACUGCCAUUUAAAUUCUUAAACCUAAAAAUUCAUAAGAUCCCAAGCAAUAUCCUUUUCCUUUCUUUUAAGUAUUCAUAAUUUAUAGAGCUAAACUAUCUAGUGGUUACCACCAUCUGUAAUUUAGUAGCAUUCCGUUCAUUUGAGCCCCAGCAAUCUUAGCCUGCCUACAUACACGCGACCUUCCGUCUCUUUUAUCCACAUUGUUGCCCUCCUUUUCUAUCGAACGUGUGUGGACAAUAGAAAUGAUCAAGGUAAAUAUGACUGUACAUAUGUACAUUCGUUUAUUUGUACCGCUCAACUCACCUUGCGGCGCACGAAUUAAGACCCGAAAGAGCGAGAGAAAGAUCGAGAGAGUGUUUCCAUCGGCUUGGUUUUUUUUGAAGAUGAUACACGAACCAUGAAUUUAAUUAUGAUAAAGAAAAAAAAAAACCAUUUUAUAGCCAACAAAAACACGCAAAUAAAGGCUUAUAAGAGUAUUAGUACUGGUCAGCGUGGUGUAUUGGUAUUCGUGUGGGUACAACCUAGGUUAUUAUGUAAAAUAAGUUGGAAAGCGUCUGGAUAAAUGGGUACUUUGCUGUGUAUGAGUGAGUAGUAUUCGAUGGUGUGUGCUUUAUAUGCAUGGAAUAUAAGUUGGUCGGCCAUCGCAGUCUACGGAUUAAGUGUCGUUGGCUCUAUUACCCGACUCUCCAAAUCGAAAAUCCAAAAUGGCGGCGAUCGCAUUGCACAAGGUACAGUUGCCUCCGAGCUUAGAGGGCAUAACUCAUAAAACCGACUUGAAUACGUAUUACGCAGUCUCUGAAGACGUGGUUUUCGAAAUUUCACAUUACUGCUGCCGGUUUUAUCCAUCCGAAACGAGAUGUAAAUUAGGAUGCUAUGUAAAUUUCGGUUUAAUAUAUUAUGGGUAUGUAUUUGUUAGUUUUACGUAGGCUAGGUAUCGAACAUUAGUACUUAGGUUAUAUUUAAAAUGAUUCCUUCAAAAUAAUUAUGGCCAAAUAUUAAAUUCACAAACUGUCAUAGGAAUUAGAAAUUCACAAGCAUGUUUCCAAACUUCAUCUCUGUGAAAUGCGUACGUUGCAUAUUUGCCUAAGAGCAUCAUUUUAGAUUUAUUUCAAACGAUUAACUAGGACUUAAACAUUGAUUUAACGGGGUUUGCUUUAACUGCAAAGAAAUCAUUAAAAACGUAAGCUCAAUAACCUGUCGAAAAUUUCUUUGAAGCCAAGACACAAGAUGCGAAGUGAAAAUUGAGUUGGACCAAGCUGCUGCUAAUGCUGAGCUACCGUAACACAUUAAAAUUAUCUAGUAAUUCCUCCUCAGCUUCAAUUAGUGACCUGGCCCAUCAGUGCCAGAGUUGAAUGAACCAGGCCAACAGCAAAACCAAAACCAAAUCGAAGUUGGUCAGGUCUGUUAAUUAGCCAGAAGCGCAGGCAAAACAGAGACCCGAACCCAAAAAUGCUAAUAAUACUGAUGCUAAGAGUCAAUCAAUCAUUUUGCAGUUUCACAGUGCAAAAAACACUUACACACAGCUAACCAUCCAGCCAUCCACAUCCACCCAAUGAGGCAUCUUGUGCUGGUUGAACCAAUUCCACGGAUAUUUUGUACAUUGCGAUUCGACCACCCAUUGCUGACGCUGCAGUUACCAGAUUCAGAUACCAAUACAUUUGAAAUACUUUAGAAACAGUAAGAAAAUGAUUGCAAUCUGUACAAGUUUUUGUUGUUUAGUAUGAGAAUAUAA
Drosophila sechellia is the source of this 3098-nucleotide long non-coding RNA. RefSeq lists it as uncharacterized. The record is from RefSeq and is a predicted model, not a curated record. Lineage: Eukaryota; Metazoa; Arthropoda; Insecta; Diptera; Drosophilidae. The transcript is spliced from 3 exons.